AAAGACUUAGUCCUAGCCUUACCGUUCAUUAUUGCCAAACAUAUACAUGCAAGUAUCCGCACCCCAGUGUAAAUGCCCUCAGCCACCUUACCAAGAUAGGAGGAGCAGGUAUCAGGCACACUACGAACUGCAGCCCAAGACACCUUGCCCAGCCACACCCCCACGGGUACUCAGCAGUAAUUAAUAUUAAGCAAUAAGUGCAAACUUGACUUAGUUAUGGCAACCUUUAGGGCUGGUUAAUCUUGUGCCAGCCGCCGCGGUCAUACAAGAAACCCAAAUUAACAGCAACACGGCGUAAAGAGUGGCAUAAUGAUAUCACCACAACUAAGACCAAAACACAACUGAGCUGUCAUAAGCAUAAGAUGUGCGGAAGAACACCUAUAAAAGGAUCUUAGCCAACAUGACCCACUCACUGCCACGAAAGCUAAGACGCAAACUGGGAUUAGAUACCCCACUAUGCUUAGCCAUAAAUUUCGACACUUCCCCUCACUAAAGUGUCCGCCUGAGAACUACGAGCACAAACGCUUAAAACUCUAAGGACUUGGCGGUGCCUCAAACCCACCUAGAGGAGCCUGUUCUGUAAUCGAUAAUCCACGAUACACCCGACCGCCCUUCGCCCAAUUCAGCCUACAUACCGCCGUCGCCAGUUCACCUUAUCUGAAAGAGCAACAGUGAACACAAUAGCCCCAACCACGCUAAUAAGACAGGUCAAGGUAUAGCCCACAGGACGGAAGAAAUGGGCUACAUUUUCUAGCUUAGGAAACCACGAAAAGAGGGAUGAAACUUCCCCCUAGAAGGCGGAUUUAGCAGUAAAGCUGGACUAUAAUACCACCUUAAAGACGGCCCUGAGGCACGUACAUACCGCCCGUCACCCUCCUCGUAAGCUAUAUGCGCAAGUAAUUAACACCAACUCUCAGCCAAAGAUGAGGUAAGUCGUAACAAGGUAAGUGUACCGGAAGGUGCACUUAGCACAC
This 974-nucleotide non-coding RNA is filed under the name Anthracothorax nigricollis (black-throated mango). Its description in RNAcentral is "partial 12S ribosomal RNA". It matches the Rfam family "Bacterial small subunit ribosomal RNA". The record is from RNAcentral. Lineage: Eukaryota; Metazoa; Chordata; Aves; Apodiformes; Trochilidae.